Molecule: long non-coding RNA, 1262 nt
Filed under: Apteryx haastii (Great spotted kiwi)
Lineage: Eukaryota; Metazoa; Chordata; Aves; Apterygiformes; Apterygidae
Description: lncRNA (ENSAHAG00000006539.1)
Source: RNAcentral
GAUUUCCUGCUGAGUCAAUAAAGGAGGAAUGCAGGGAGAUGGCAGUCUGGCUUUGAUAGCCCUAAUUUACAAAGAGAGUCGUCUUUUUUGUACUUCAGCCAGAGGUUAUUGCAGCUCAGCAGAGGCACAAGUCCGCGCUGCCUUUUGGACUUAUCCCUCGGAGCCCUUCACCCAGCCCCUCCAUGUCUGUAGUCAGCAAGGUGAGUCUGUCACAUGCUAUUGCUUGUUUGGGCUAAAUUUGUGUUUAUGGAUUUUAUUCUGAAGUUCUGUUUACUUCUUUGGGAACAUCCCUUGAGCUGCUCUAGGGUGAAAGUUCAUCCUUGUGGUAUUUCUGGCUUAUUUUCCAAAGGAAACACGCAGAUGUGAUUGGGUGCUCUCGCUCUCCCUCUGGAGCUUCUGAACCCAUUUGCCUUUUCAGUGGAAUUUGUCCGAGGCGUUGAUGUUUCAAAAAUGCUACGUUCCUACGCGUUUUGUGAAAAUAAGUGGAAGGGUAGAGGCCCUCAGUGUCCUAAUGAAGGACAAAGUUAGUAAGUUCACCCCACACUAGGCAUUGGAGAAUCCACACAGGAUGUUGUCACAGGAAACAGAGCUUCAUAAUCUCGCUGCUCACAGAGCGCUGCUGCUCUGUUCCCUGCGGCGGGCCUGGGGAUAGUUCCCCCCUCCCCACCCCCCCCACCCCCCGAAAAAUAAGCAAUUCUUGCCUUUUCUGGAAAUGCAGAGCAAGCAGGGAGGUUUCUCUCUGUUACUAUGUUCUGUUUUGUACUGUUGUGAUCCUUGGGGUCUUCUUAUAAACAACCUUUGUCUUCUAUGCUUACAAACAGAUUUUUUUUCCCCUCAACUAAUUUGAAAGCUCUUAGUUCCUCAGCAAUUCAGGAGCCGCUCUGGGCCUCUCGCACCCUGCCCUCUGCAAGCGUGCACUCAGCAGCCGGCCUCAGAAACAAACCACCACUGCCCGUUUCCUGAGCGGGAAACCUCCCUGAAACAGAUUUCAAUUCUCACUCGCAAUGUGCAGGACCAGAGGGAAGAUCAGAAAGUUCAUCCUGUCGCAGCAUGUCAGUGUCGUGCUAAUGCCACAGCUAAGACAGGCUUGAACGCUUGGCUGCUGAUGAUCCAUGCUGUUUAUUUGCUUGCUCCCUGACGUGGUUUUGACCGAUGCAAAUAGCUUCCAGAUAACACCCAAGUGCUGCAGGGGCUGUAAUGAUCCCCUUAUCAAAAACUGCCUGGAAGAGUGGUCUUGUGCUCUCGCCCUCAUCCUUAUGUCU